GGUUUGAUUGCUGGUAUAGCUGUAUUUCUUCAGCUGUCUGAGCAUGCUGGGAGUAGUAGUUUUGCAACAGUUGGAGGCCCCGUGGUUGGGAAACACUGGUCUAGGCUCUUAAUCAGCUAAUAGGGAUCUCCUACAGGCGGGGGUCAUCUGCUGGCGGAGCUCCUUCUCUAUUUGCAUUGGUGACUAGCGGAUCACGUGACUCGGCCCGGACUGGAAGUGGGCGCAUUUCCACUAUAGUGCCGGUGGAGAAGCGAGAAGUGGGCGCCAAUAGGAAUAUUCCGGAAAGGAUCUCAGCACCCUCCACAGAUGUGGAUACCCAAGGAGGUGGAAGGAUUAUUCUAAUCAUUAUAUACGUCUGCUUGGCCCUGGGGUGUUAGUGGUUGGGUCAGAGGAUAAUAUCCAUAGACCCUCCACAUACACCGGGUAGGUCACCCUUGUGAUACCAAAACAGCUCCCACCCAUUGUGCCAAGAAAACCUAUGAAAGUGUCCUGUGGUAUCUGGAGCCAAGACGUCAGCAGCAAAUCCUCUAGGUCCUAUAAGUUGUGGCUUCCAUGGAUUCCAUGGUUUUUCCAGCACAAACCACAGAUUGAUUGACUGGAUCUGGUAAAAUUGGAGCCCAAGUCAACAAUGUGAUCUCUUUGUCACGUUCCUCAUAGACUUUGGGGGGUAUUUAUGAAACGAUUAUGGAAAGUGUAAUGUCUUUUUACUCCAUUAAUUCAUGUGGUGGAAACUGUGUACCUGCUCCAAAUGUAUGACGUGGUGCAUGACAUGUUAUAAAUAUGGUUCUGAUGACAUUUUUACUUCAGUACUCCACUUUGUGUGUUGCCCCCCUCUGUGACUUUUGUUAAUGUUGUCCACAGUCAGUUUGUAAGCCAAGUCAAGACUGGUGUAGAUUUGCGCCUAAGCUUGCGCAGUUGCUCCUAACUUUGCGACAAAGUCGCACAUCAUAAAUUUCUGAGCACUGCAAAAACACAACUCAAAAACACAUUUAACACAGCAAAAAACAAAUACACACGUAAAUGAAAAGUCGCACAAAAAAAACGCAUUGCGACAAAAUAUUGCAACAAAUUUACCCAGGAAAACCAGAGUAAAAGGCUUCAUAAAUACCCCCCAUUUGUCUAUGCGAUGCUUAAGCAGGUGGUGAAGGUCACAGUAAUAUUCCCAUUCCUCAUGAAUCAUUUUUUCAGGACUCUCAGAUUAUAGACGAUUGCUCAUUGCGUGGUCUUUUUGUGGUGGUGGAUAUGGUGUUUGGCGUGUUCUCUGUUUCCUUUUUCUCCUUCCAGUUUAUCUUUAGUUUUCCUUC
This is a long non-coding RNA of Hyla sarda, 1304 nucleotides long. RefSeq lists it as uncharacterized. Lineage: Eukaryota; Metazoa; Chordata; Amphibia; Anura; Hylidae. The record is from RefSeq and is a predicted model, not a curated record. The transcript is spliced from 4 exons.